This 253-nucleotide ribosomal RNA is filed under the name uncultured bacterium. RNAcentral describes it as "partial 16S ribosomal RNA". It matches the Rfam family "Bacterial small subunit ribosomal RNA", at positions 524 to 776 of the family's 1533-position model. The record is from RNAcentral.
UACGAAGGGGGCUAGCGUUGCUCGGAAUCACUGGGCGUAAAGGGUGCGUAGGCGGGUCUUUAAGUCAGGGGUGAAAUCCUGGAGCUCAACUCCAGAACUGCCUUUGAUACUGGCGAUCUUGAGUCCGGGAGAGGUGAGUGGAACUGCGAGUGUAGAGGUGAAAUUCGUAGAUAUCCGCAAGAACACCAGUGGCGAAGGCGGCUCACUGGCCCGGUACUGACGCUGAGGUGCGAAAGCGUGGGGAGCAAACAGG